This 564-nucleotide unclassified non-coding RNA is filed under the name Hevea brasiliensis (rubber tree). The record is from RNAcentral. Lineage: Eukaryota; Viridiplantae; Streptophyta; Magnoliopsida; Malpighiales; Euphorbiaceae.
AAAAUUCUCUGAAACUGAAUCGGAAACGGAAUCGGAAUCGGAGCUCAGAGAGAAAGCAACAAUGGAGGCCGGAGACGAAGCGCUUGAGAUGGUGGUAGACUCAAAGGACUUGCAGCAGCAAAGCAAAGCUCUAGAUAAGCUCACUGACCAUGUCGAAGAUCGUCAGCUUGAUUCCUCUCGUGUUCAAACGGCUAUGGCUUCAAUUUAUGCAUCUAAGGAAGCUGAUCUUCAGGCUAUGAGACUGAGGGAGAAAGAACUAGCUGCUGUUAAGAUUAAUGCUGCUGAUAUUGAUAUAAUUGCAAACGAACUAGAGGUGGACAAGAAGGUUGCUGAAAGGACUUUGAGAGAGCAUAAAGGUGAUGCUGUAGCUGCAGUAAGGCAUUUGCUCAACUAGUACAGUAACUACAACGCCUCAGUCUCAAACAAAUUGGGGUCGGCUAUAUGAACUGUCGGGGAUCUUUUUCAUUGAUUCUGAAAUGUUCUAGCAAAGUGACUACUAAAUGUUCAUGCUAUAUAUGUAACUUUGAUCUGUUGACACUUUUUUUUCAAUUAUAUUGGUAAUUG